Molecule: long non-coding RNA, 367 nt
Filed under: Sus scrofa (pig)
Lineage: Eukaryota; Metazoa; Chordata; Mammalia; Artiodactyla; Suidae
Description: lncRNA (ENSSSCG00060060710.1)
Source: RNAcentral
GUGACCCACAUACUUUAUGCGUUUGUCACCUGUCUCUGGCAUCUGAGGAUGAUGCUGUUGAGGAUGGUUACCACCUACAUGUGCAGUUAGAGCUACAAGUUCUGGCAGGAGUUAAAGAUGUAAACCAGAGGAGCCUGAGAAGCAGCCAGCCUUGGAGAGGAAAGGGAGCAGAUUAACCUGGAUCAUUUUCUGACAGGGUUUUCCUGAAUUUCUAAGGAUCUUGGUUGCUGUCUUAAAUGACACAUUCAGUCUUUGCUCAGUUGUCGUCUCCUUAUAGAAACCAAUCUAAACAUUUCCAGAGCAAGGAGAAAAAACCUCUAGGAUAAUAUUAUGGAGAAUUUCACACAAUGGCAAUCUGUUAGGAAAG